Molecule: non-coding RNA, 2043 nt
Organism: Benincasa hispida (wax gourd)
Lineage: Eukaryota; Viridiplantae; Streptophyta; Magnoliopsida; Cucurbitales; Cucurbitaceae
Source: RefSeq, a predicted model, not a curated record
AUGGGUCAGGGCCUGAGCUGCGCAGACCGCCAUGAAACUGGAUUCUUCUUCAGAGCUCUGCAGAAUGGGGAUGUGGAAGUUGUUCGAGCUAUGGUGGAGACUGAUUCAUCUAUCUUACACCACACCACUAACCAUCAAAGAUCAACGCCUCUACAUGUAGCGGCUGCCAAUGGACAGAUCGAUAUUCUUUCGAUGCUCUUGGACUGGAAUGUGAAUCCCGAUAUUCUCAAUCGGCAUAAUCAGACUCCUCUGAUGCUGGCUGCAAUGAGCGGGAGGAUAACUUGUGUUCAAAGGCUGAUCGAAGCAGGAGCUAAUAUAUUGAUGUUUGAUUCUACACAUCGAAGAACUUGCUUGCAUUACGCAGCUUAUUAUGGACAUUCAGAUUGUCUGCAAGCUAUUCUUUCUGCUGCACAUACCACUCCUGUAUCCGACUCUUGGGGGUUUGCAAGAUUUGUGAACAUUAGAGAUGGGGAUGGCUCAACUCCAUUGCAUCUAGCAUCCAGACAGAGCCAAACUGAGUGUGUUCGUAAACUUCUUAACAAUGGUGCUCUUGUUUGUGUCUCAACUUGCAGUUGUGCAGGUAGUUCACCGCUUCAUUUAGCCGCCCGUGGCGGUUCGUUGGAAUGUGUUCGAGAAUUGCUUGCUUGGGGAGCUGACAGAUUUCAGUUUGAUUCAUAUGGGAGAAUACCAUUUACGGUUGCUUUAAAGCAUAAGCAUCAAACUUGUGCAGCUUUGUUGAACCCUUCAUCACCGGAACCUCUCGUCUGGCCUUCACCUUUGAAGUUAAUUAUUAAGCUAGAUCCAGAUGCGAAAAUUUUGCUAGAAAAGGCUUUGAUGGAUGCAAACAUGGAGAGAGAGAAGGCUAUAUUGAAGGAAACAUUCAUCACACCUCAAUGUCCUUUGCAAGCUGAUGUCGACAUCGAUGCUUAUGUUGACAAUGACUUAGCAUCUGAGGCUAGCGAUACAGAUUUGUGCUGCAUAUGCUUUGAACAAAUGUGCAAUAUUGAAGCCCAACCCUGUGGCCAUAGAAUGUGCGCCCACUGCACAUUAUCUCUGUGCUGCCACAAGAAGCCUAAUCCAACAACAGCUUGCCCAACAGCCCCUGUUUGCCCCUUUUGCAGAAGCAGCAUCACCCAGCUUCUGGUUGCUGAGGUGAGGAGUAAUGACAAUGUAGACCAAGAAAAUUCCCCCUUGAAACUGAAGGGAUUGCGAACGUCAAAUUUCAAUGAAGAAAACAGCAGCUUGAAGAGCUUAUCUGCCCUGUUUGGGAAGUUCAGUGAACAAAAUGCAGGGACGUGUAUAAAGCCUUAAAAAGAAGGCCUUAUCAGAGAGAUGAUUCAGCAGACAUGGCAACCUCAGAUUCACUUGGACACAAAAUAUGAGAAAGCUAACCAUGGUUACCACUUAACGGUUAUGAUUUUAUGGAUCAAUCAAAAGUGGUUCACUAACUUAGCAGCAAUGAAUGCCUUGAUUUGUCUGAUCCAAACACAAUGGCUCAACGAUGAUUAUGGUAAGUAAGUCUCCCUACAAAUGAAAUGGUAGGAUGAAACAAAUGACCAUAUAACAUUUGACAUGCAUCAUUUUUCCAUGAAGCUACGAAUCAAAGAAAGAAUUAUUUAAUCAGUUGGCAAUAUAGACAUGAAAAGAGUAGAGGAAUCCCUUGACUGUUACCACCUUGAACAAGUUCUCCAUCUGAUCUUCUGCUUUCUUCUUUGCCCGCCAGUGCGAAUGACACAGGAGCAACUUGUUCACUGGAAAACAAAGCAUUUGUUUCAGAAACAGGACGAAUAGGUGAGUAAUCAUUGGGUCCAUAAAGGGUCGGGUUGUGAAUCCUGUGAUUUCGUGUAGUUUUUCUUUCUGCUUCAAGAGAGUGCUCAAGUGAAGGAGAGCUGCUCAAGCUCACAGCAUCAGGGCGGAGUUUAAUGCAUAAAGAUAAAGAAAAUAACCAUGGCUUGGACUUGUACUUCUUUUUGUCUUCGAGUAUUUCCACCUUGUUGCCUUCCGUUGAUCUUUGUGAUAGCUCGAAAAUGCUUGAGACUCCAA